Molecule: ribosomal RNA, 426 nt
Filed under: uncultured bacterium
Lineage: Bacteria
Description: partial 16S ribosomal RNA
Rfam family: Bacterial small subunit ribosomal RNA
Source: RNAcentral
GUGAGGAAUUUUCCGCAAUGGGCGAAAGCCUGACGGAGCAAUGCCGCGUGAAGGAUGAUGGCCUAUGGGUUGUAAACUUCUUUUCUCAGAAAAGAAUUAUGACGGUAUCUGAGGAAUAAGCAUCGGCUAACUCUGUGCCAGCAGCCGCGGUAAGACAGAGGAUGCAAGCGUUAUCCGGAAUGAUUGGGCGUAAAGCGUCUGUAGGUUGUUUAAAAAGUAUUCUGUCAAAGAUUAGGGCUUAACCCUAGAUAGGCAGAAUAAACUUUUAAGCUAGAGUUUGGUAGAGGCAGAGGGGAGUCCCGGUGGAGCGGUGAAAUGCGUAGAUAUCGGGAGGAACACCAAAGGCGAAGGCACUCUGCUGGGCCAAUACUAACACUGAGAGACGAAAGCGAGGGGAGCAAAUGGGAUUAGAAACCCCUGUAGUCC